UGAAAAUCGUGUUGGGAAGAGCACUCAAUCAUGACCCUAUAUAUCUGAAGAAAGUCAAGACCUAGAAGAUAGAGGGGAGCAUCUGGCGUCCUUCCCCUCUGUUCUGAAAGGGAGAAGCUUUCCUAAAAGCAUGUAUAGUUGAAUAUUGGAGUAACAGGGCACAUUUUAAGUUCAUGUGAUGCCUAUACUUCAAACUUCCUGAAGGGCAUUGGAUUCUUAUUUAAGCUUAGAGUCUUUGCUACUAAGUUAUGACAUUAAUACCACUAAAUAAAACUUACUUUAAGCUUUCCCAUUCUUGUUGGAUCUGAAGCUAGAUCUUUCACCUCUGAAUCUUGUAGAUCUCAGAUUGAAGCAUUAUUAAGACCAUAAACCAAAUAUCAAGAGCUAAGCAGAUUGUCAAAAUGGAGUUUUGAACCCCGGACUUCAAUUCCCAGAAGUCCUUGGCCACUUCCCAAAAUGCCUUGUAACCUCACCUGAAUUCCCACCUGGGCUGAGAACAGAAAUUGUAUUUAAGCUGACUCUCCGCCUACCUCAGGUUUCUCGGCUUCUGCUUCUAGGGACACGCUUCUCCCAAGAUUUGGGCCUUUUGUCAGAAAGGGAAGAAAGUGGUGGCAUCUGGUGGCGCGCUGGCUUACAUUGUAGCACAUAGAAAUCUUUCUUCCAAUAUCCCAAUUUUUUACAAUAGGAAGCACACCUUGUCACCCUAUGAGCUUGGAGCUUGAUACCCAGAGAAGGAAAGGCUAAGGAUAGAGGAGGGAAAAAAAAGUCUAUUUCAGGGCCUCUUUCAUCUCUAUGUAAAACCUUAACCUGACUUUCCAUUUGUUCCUUCUCCUUUUAUUUGGAGACCUCCUCCUGAAGGAAAGAGUCCCUAUUCUCAACCUCCCCCUUUUACUUUUGAAUUUUAAUUGUUAAAUAUCCUUUUGAAGGAGACUUUAGAUUCAGACUCUUGCAUGGUUUCAUAUUUCAAGGAGCCAUUGAAAAAAGGCAUCUUCUCAAGGCCAUCAAACUUGGGGUCAAUGUUAUCAAGAGUAAAAAUGGUGAAAAUUUCAUUUUAUUGUGAUUAAAGAAGUGCUAUUGUGGCCAGAAAUAGCAGGGUUGAAUUUUGUUAAAUUCUUCCAA
This 1119-nucleotide long non-coding RNA is filed under the name Monodelphis domestica (gray short-tailed opossum). Its description in RNAcentral is "lncRNA (ENSMODG00000034108.2)". The record is from RNAcentral. Lineage: Eukaryota; Metazoa; Chordata; Mammalia; Didelphimorphia; Didelphidae.